GAGUUUGAUCCUGGCUCAGAUUGAACGCUGGCGGCAUGCCUAACACAUGCAAGUCGAACGGUAACAGCGAGAGCUUGCUCUCGGCUGACGAGUGGCGGACGGGUGAGUAACGCGUAGGGAUCUGCCUCGCAGCGGGGGACAACCUUAGGAAACUGGGGCUAAUACCGCAUAUACUCUUUGGAGGAAAGGUAGCGUUUGCUAUCACUGCGAGAUGAACCUGCGUUAGAUUAGCUAGUUGGUGGGGUAAAAGCCUACCAAGGCGACGAUCUAUAGCUGGUCUGAGAGGAUGAGCAGCCACACUGGGACUGAGACACGGCCCAGACUCCUACGGGAGGCAGCAGCGGGGAAUAUUGGACAAUGGGGGCAACCCUGAUCCAGCAAUGCCGCGUGUGUGAAGAAGGCCUGCGGGUUGUAAAGCACUUUCGUUGGGGAGGAUGGUGUUUGUGGUUAAUAGCCAUAAACAUUGACGUUACCCAAAUAAGAAGCACCGGCUAACUCUGUGCCAGCAGCCGCGGUAAUACAGAGGGUGCAAGCGUUAAUCGGACUGACUGGGCGUAAAGGGCGUGUAGGCGGCUUUUUAAGUCGGGUGUGAAAUGGCAGGGCUUAACCUUGUCAGGCCACUCGAUACUGGGGAGCUAGAGUGCAGGAGAGGGAAGUGGAAUUUCCGGUGUAGCGGUGAAAUGCGUAGAUAUCGGAAGGAACACCAGUGGCGAAGGCGACUUUCUGGCCUGCAACUGACGCUGAGGCGCGAAAGCGUGGGUAGCGAACAGGAUUAGAUACCCUGGUAGUC
This 790-nucleotide ribosomal RNA is filed under the name uncultured marine bacterium. RNAcentral describes it as "bacterial SSU rRNA". It matches the Rfam family "Bacterial small subunit ribosomal RNA", at positions 9 to 795 of the family's 1533-position model. The record is from RNAcentral.